AUUGUAAGUAAAUAUUUACCAAAAGCAAAUUGUAUGCAAACUAAAAGCUGAUCAUGAAAUUUAUUUCAGAAUAAGAAGCAGUGUGACUCAAAUUGUAAAGGUCUUGAAACAGAAGCACAACUCUUGAUACCAGAUGAUCAACAUUUCGUGCAAAUAGCAAGAACAAUAGGUAUUGGAGACUUCUACAACUUCUUCAUUGAACUUGGAAUGGAAAAAGCCGAUUACGACAACUUAAAUUUUCGUUAUUUCUCAAAUCCUAUGGAUUUUAUGUUGAUGGGACUGUUUGAAUGGCGGGAUAAAACAGAAAGUGACCAAUUGACUGCAACGUUUGGAAAACUCCAGAAGGCACUGACAGCUAUUGAAAGACAACACUAUCUGUGUCAGAUACACAGAGAGGAUCAUACUUUAGUGGAAAUAGCUCAUAGCCGCCUACAAGAUGUUCCGUCAGAUGACGUAAUUGAUGCUUUGACAGAAAAAAACCUGAUUGGUGAUUGCGUUGUUCACUUAGGAAUUGAAUUAUGUCUAAGCAUCGGGAACAUUAGGAAGACUUUGUACAAUUUUCCUAGGGAUUUGAAUGGUCAAGUUCAUGAUCUUCUCACCAAAUGGAAAAAUUGCAAUGAAACCAAGAUGGUAAAACCAACAAUCUACAGACUUAUGGUAGCUUUAAAACAUAUUAAAGCAGCUAAAGGACUAAGUUUUGUGAAGAAAACAUAUGGUGUCGAGUAAGACUUUAUAUAUUGUAUAAUGUGUAAAAGUAUAUUACAAUACAUAUAGUAGGUUUAAUUCUAGUAAACAAAAAUGACGUAUACUGCCUAGUUUUUUAAAAUUAAAAAAUGUAUGUUCUGCUGCCCUUUUUGAAUAAUCAAGGUAAACAGAUGAUGCAAUUUUUUUUCUUUUAGUAUUGUGGUUGAGAAAAUUGAUAUUAUAAAUUAUUAACAAAAACAACGUAUCCUUAUGGCUUUAUUUGAUUUAUUUGUCUAAUAAACAAUGAGGUUUUUUUUCAGCAAGAGGUUUUCUGCAGUCAUACUAAUCCAAAUUUUCUGGAGCCAAAACAGGCUAUCAUUUCACCUAUGUAAAUAAUUACUUCAUUUAACCAAAAAUUUAAAAUGUUUCUAAAAAGGAAUCAACCUCAUAUUCUUAUUACGCUUGAAGUUUUGUUUUUGUCAUCAACAUAAUUAUCAUUCUAAAUAUCAUUCCUAAACUGCAUGAAAUAAUACUUCCUUUAGUUCUAGUCCUUGUUAGAACACCUGGCAGAAUACUAAUACAGCUUUUCUCAUCACGAUUUGUCUGUCGUCCUUCACCGUCGUCGUCUAUUUACUUUCACAAAAGUCUUCUCCUCUGAAACCACUGGGCAAAAUUUAACCAAACUUUAAAAAAAAAAUGGAAUUAUCAUUUGGAUAUAUAGUUUUUACAAUAUCUCUGAUGACCCAUCUACCAACUUUGGUGGUCAACAUGACUAGAAAUAGAAAAUAAUGCAAGUUGUUUGUAUUAUUUUUGAAAACUGCCAUGAAUAAAGAUAUUUAAAGGGGGGUCCUAUUGGAACAAAAAUUUGAAAUUAAAAAUGUAUUCAAUACAUAGCAUUGAAACCAUAAUUUCACAAUAAACAUAAUAUAACUUCAACACCAUAUUCAUCAACACUUACAUAUGUAUAUCACCUUUAAAAUUGAAAUAAAAAUGCUGAUUUAAAUAAUCUCAAAACUGAAUUGUGACUUAUAUUUUCAAUUUUAUUCAAAAAUGUUUGAAUGUUUCAGAUAUAUUUUAUGAUUACUGGAUAAUUUUCACCAUAAACCUAAGCUUUGUAUAGAUUUAUGGUGUCAGUUGAGUUAAGUUAAUGAUGCAGUGAACAUUUUUUUUGUAUUUAAAAUAUAUAUAAAAUAGCAUAUAAAGCAACAUAAUAAAUUUAAAAAAUGACACCUUUGUUUUGUUAAACUAGGAAUUUAAUAUAAUCAUGAUAAUAGAACUUCCAUAGCAAUCCUUAAUAAGAAAAUGUGUCUCAAAGUUACUGUAAACAAUUUAUUUCAAUUGAUGGUAUACCGCCAUCUUGGAUUGAACAAUCACAGUACAAAUUCGGUCUAGUUAUUUGCCUAAAUUUGCAAAUUUGGAGACAGAUUUGCAAUUCAAGUGUUAGACUGUUUUUUUUCUAUUUGAAGAAAACUUGCUAAUUUAUCGUAUGAUACAAAAUAUUUUAACAAAUAUCAUUUAUUAAGGUCUUAAAAUCAUUUUAUUCAAAUGAGCCAUUUAAGGGGAGAUAACUCUUUUAGUACAAAAUUUAUACUUGGCUAAUAGGGAUUUUUUUUAUUUUUACUUGUAGCAAGAAAACAAGUUCGGUGACACCAUGUUUUCUUUUUAUUUUCUUAAAACAUAUUAUGAAACCUUUCUUCUCACAAUUUAUUUCAAAAUUCUAUCUCAUUGAAUUUUUUUAUGCACACUAAUGUGUUUUUUCAUGAACAAAGUAACCAAAUUUUGGCAAUUUUUAACAACUCAUAGUUUGAAAUAGCACGGUGACCCAUACUUUUUAUUUAAUUUUUGAAAAGAGCAUAGUGAAAUCUUCAUUUUGGCAAAUUAUAAAAAAAUUCUGUCUCAAAAAAUAUAUACUGGUGAUCUACCUUAAAUUUAAAUAAUGUUGGUCAAAAAUUAAAGACAUGACAUACAAGAAACACUCGAAUAAGGUUUAAUUACCUCAGCACACGUUAGUUUUUUCAGGUAAAAAGAAAGCCUUUAUUAGCUCACCUGGCCGCCAUGGCUAAAAAUAGAACAUAGGAGUAAAAUGCAGUUUUUGGCUUAUAAACUAAAAACCAAAGCAUUUAGAGAAAAUAUGACAUCAGUUAAAAUUGUUUAUCAGGUCAAAAUCUAUCUGCACUGAAAUUUUCAGAUGAAUCAGACAACCCAUUGUUGGGUUGCUGCCCCUUAAUUGGUAAUUUUACGGAAAUUUUACUGUUUUUGGUUAUUAUCUUGAAUAGUAUUAUAGAUGGAGAUUAACUGUAAACAGCAAUAAUGUUCAGCAAAGUAAGAUUUACAAAUAAGUCAACAUCACCAAAAUGUUCAGUUGACCUCUUUAGGAGAUAUUGCCCUUUAUAUUCAAUUUUUAACCAUUUUUCGUAAAUCUUAGUUAACUUUUACAAAAAUCUUCUCCUCUGAAACUACUUGGCCAAUUUUUACCAAACAUAGCCAGAAUCAUUAUUAGGCUAUCUUGUUUAAAAAUUGUGUUUUGUGACUGGUCAAACCAACCAAGAUGGCCGCUACGGCUAAAAAUAGAACAUAGGGAUAAAAUGCGGUGUUUGGCUUAUAACUCAAAAACCAAAGCAUUUAGAGCAAAUCUGACAAGGAGUAAAAUUGUUUAUCUGGUCAAGAUCUAUCUGCCCUGGGAUGAAUGGGACAACUCAUUGUUAGGUUGCUCCCCCUAAAUGGGUAAUUUUAAGGAAAUGUUGCUGUUUUGGUUAUUAUCUUGAAUAUUAUUAUAAAUAGAUAUAAACUGUAAACAGCAAUAAUGUACAGCAAUUUAAAACCCAAAAAUAAGUCAAAAUGACCAAAAUGGUCAAUUGACCACCUAAAAAGUUAUUGUCCUUUAUAAUAUUUUUUUAACAAUUUUCAUAAAAUUUGUAAAUUUUUACCAACAUUUUCCACUGACACUAAACGGACAAGUUCAUUGUAGAUAGAGAUAAUUGUAAGCAGCAAGAAUGUUCAGUAAAGUAAGAUGUACAAGCACAUCACAAUCACCUAAAAACAAUUUUGUCAUGAACUGUCUGCUUCCUUUGUUUAAUUCACAUAUACCAAGGUGAGCGACACAGGCUCUUAAGAGCCUCUAGUUUUUCUUAACUCGUGUAUUACUUAUCUAGUGAAUUCAAAAGGCCUUGCGAUUUAAGUUAAACAGGAUGUUGCAUCUUUGAAUGAAUGUUAUUUAGAAUUUAAUACUCUCUGGCCAGGUGAUAUUUUUAAUGAGUUUGCCCCAAGCAGGAAGUAUUUAUUUAUAGUUCACCACUAGUCAGAAGAACAAUUUCAUUAAUUUCUUUAAUUUUUUAUCCCUUUUUGAUAUUUAUUAUAUACAAUAUAUCCAAAAUUAUGAUAAUUCAUAUAUUUCUAAUAUAAGGUUAAAAAAUUUCAGUGAUUUUGUUGGCUGUUGUUACCUCAUUAAAAAGAUUACUAUAUAACUAUUGUAUAUAACCAUGAAACCUAUGAAGUUCUAAUUAAGAAAUAUAGCAAAAUUAAGUUUUAAAAAAACACCACACAGGCCAAACAAGAAGCACCUUAACAAAGUUUAAUUACCCUCAGUAUAGGUGUAGUGUUUUAGGUAAAAGAAAACCUCUUUUUAACAAAUAUCUUAAACUUUAAAAUAAAUAAAGUUGAAUUAUUAUAUAAGAUGAUUUGAUUUAACUAUCUCUAUUUGAUAAAUCUAUGAGUCGUGUAAGGAUGUUAAAAUCUGUUUUUGUAUAUAUCUUUAUUUUAUUGUGGCUGUUGUCAUGUUAGUUAAAAAAAAUAUUUUAAUAGUUAGAAUGAAAAAAAAAGUAGAAUUGAGGUUAUUUGGUCAAGUAUGGUUCAGACUGGUCGAGUAUUGUUCAGACCUUUGGUCGAGUAUGGUUUAGACUGAAGAAAUAGGUUGAGUACAGGUCAAGAAUGGGUUUAGACUGUUUCAGAUUUGUCGAGUAACACUUCAGACUAUUUUUAAUGGCAAAGAAAAGGGUCAAGUACAAAUCAGUACAGUUGAGAAUGGUUAAGUCUGGGGUCGAGUAAUAUUGAGUAAAAAUCAGUAUAGUCAAGUACAGAUAUAGGCCAUUUUAGACUUCUACUAGUUGGUAGUGAUUGUUGAUUUGAUAUCUAUACAGUUGUUGAGUCAGUCAAUCCUAACCCAAAUACUUUAUAGUUGGUCGUAUAUAAUAAGAAAGAACCAUAUUGAAUGAGGUCAACCUGUAUUAAGUCAAGAUAAUUAAAGGUUAUAGCGCGUAUAGGAACUUUGAUUAGAUAACGCGCUUCACAUAUAUGGUUAAUAAUAAUAAUAAUUACAACAACAACAAAAUUUUUCUUUUUGCAGAAAUGUGAUUAUUGAAUGUUUAAGCAAAUAGUACAUAAUUAUUGAAUCAAAACCUUACUUUGAUAGGUUUUCAUGUACAAUGAGAGGAACAUCCGUAUCGAUUUUGAGGUUACAAUAUAUUAGGUCAAGUUCAUAUUUGGGCAAAGGAAAUGUUAGCUUCUCAGUAAAUGUUCUUAAAGAUACGCUAGAAACUGUCAUUUGCAUCACCAGAGUUACAGAACAAAGAUUAUGUUAUGAAACUGCAUGUCGAUACUUUAAUUUUAGCAUUGUACAAGUCAGGUAUCCAUUGCCUGUCCAUGGCGUUAAAGCACUUAACCCCUGGAAUGUGUUUUAUUUGAUUUUGGUCUCUGAUGUAUGAUUAUUUAUUGUUAUUUGUGUUUGGCUUUUUACUAGCUUACAGUAACUGUGAGUACUCUGAAAUCGUAUUUUUGUGUAAAGUUGACAAAGUUUGUAAUGCAUUUCUGUAAUUUAAUGUUUACUUAUUGUGUGUUAUAUAUCGUCUUACUAUUGUUAAUUAAUAUAUACAUGUACCACCUUUGAUUCGUAUAUUGAUAAAUUUUCAUUUCUGUACUCGUACUCUGGACAACAAAUGUAUUAAUAUGUAAAAUUCAGUACUCCUUGAUAACAGCAGUCAACAACAUUUUAUAUUUAUAUUUACCUGUGUACGUUGUGUUUUUAACGCCUUUUUAUAUUAAUAUUGUGUCAUAGAUCAAACUUAUUUGUUCAGUCUAACUUUGUAUUCUUGUAGGGGUUGUUUUAAAUGUCUUUUUAUUUGAUUUAUUUCAAUUGAUAUUUCACAGUUUGGUCUUGAUGUUGUAAUUUAAAUCUACUGUCUCAGGAUAGGGUGAAGGUGGGCGCCUAUUGAAACAUGUAGACCCUCUGCAUUUAUAUUCAGGAGGUUCAUCAAAUCUAAAGUCGGUUAAAAAUGAAAUAAGUUUAACGUAACAAUUACACACCAUAGAAACCAAUAUUAGUGUUACGUUCGUAAUUAAUCGAUUCCUAACCCAACCUUGAAAUUCGGUAAUUAUUGUCUAACGUAGCAAUAGCUUUGUUGUUAUUGAUACAUUUUCAACGUAAUUGUAGUAAGAGCCUUCUCUAAAAUUAUGCAAUGACUCCAUAACGUAGAGUUUUAACUAAGUUUUGUGUUCCUACCAAUUACCUAAAAAAAUAUAAUUAAUGGCUUAGUAGAAACUGUAAAAAAAAUAAAAAAAAUGAUCACGAUCACAAUCAAAGGUCUGAAAAAUGCCAAUAUAAUCAAAGCCAUUUGAUGACAACUUCAGGAGUUAUUGCAAUAAUUUAAGUCAAAAUAAACAUUAUUGGUGGAUAUAUCAAAUUUCGAUGAAAUUUUGGAUUCUUUUAAAACUCGUUGAACUGCAUCUGAAUUUAAAAAAAUUGAAACAAAACUAUCAAAAUAAAUAGAUAUAUUUGUUAAAAAAAGAAAAAGAUCUAUAAAUCUAUAGGAUGAACAUAAGAAUAAAAAAAAUUUCAUUUUUAAUUCAGUUUUCUCGAAAAGUCAUCAACAGAAUUUGUAUUGGAAAAGACACGUUAUUGCAAACAUUCCGUUCUAAUAAUGAAUAUUUUGAGGAUCUCAACUAUAGUUUCGAUGUGAAGUGUGGGAAAAUUAGACAAAUUAUUGCUACGUCAUAAAAGCAUUGUGCUGCAAAAAUCAUUUUGUAUACAUCACUCAUAUUUGUGUUUAAAUGAUUUAGACCAAGAAAGCAAAUCCAAUGACCCCUUAUAUUAUCUUAUCAAUUAACCCAAAUGUUAACAUCAAUAUUUUACAAAUUAAGCUGUUUUUUCAAACGUUCUUCACAUUUAUUACCCCAUUUCCCAAUGGAACUAUAAAUGCUACAUGCAUAUUAUUUUUAAUAUUUUAGAUUAAGUUCAGAGAAAUCUGAAUGCAUACAAAAUUUCAUCAAAUAUAAUAUUUAUACACAACCAAUUAAGUGAUGACAAAUUUUUCGUAUUUUUGCCAAUUACUUCAAAAAUGUGUAUAGAAAUUUUAAGGUAGAAGAUGUAAACAGCAAAAUUAAUAAUCACCCAAAUCAACGAAAAAAGACAAAACAUGGAUGACCAAGCAAAUUUAAUCACGCCUGAAGGGAAUAUUGCUCAAAGGGAUUUUUAUUUCAUAGUAUAGUUCUUAUUGUAUUUAUCAUGUA
Long non-coding RNA from Mytilus trossulus (common blue mussel), 7185 nucleotides. RefSeq lists it as uncharacterized. The record is from RefSeq and is a predicted model, not a curated record. The transcript has 4 exons. Lineage: Eukaryota; Metazoa; Mollusca; Bivalvia; Mytilida; Mytilidae.